RNAcentral lists this long non-coding RNA (1237 nucleotides) under Vulpes vulpes (red fox). RNAcentral describes it as "lncRNA (ENSVVUG00000017961.1)". Lineage: Eukaryota; Metazoa; Chordata; Mammalia; Carnivora; Canidae. The record is from RNAcentral.
CUUUUCCCUUCAAGAAGGCACGUCAGAAAGCUGUGCACAGGCUAGAUUCCUAAGUCCCAUUAAGUCAGUGCUGGGGCCACUGUUUCUGGAAGAAAAUGUGGAUAACUAAGCUCCAGAGAAGCCCCUGGUAUGUAGAAAUAGCAGGACUCAGGGGAAAGACUCAGGGGGCUGUUUUCUCUGGGCUGUGCCAGCUCUAGAUCCAUCUGUCCCCCACUUCCUCUUCCCUCCCCUCCCUGCUGGCCAUGACUGGACUCCAGUGGGCUCCUUUGUGUGGAGUCACCUGAUGCAGCUGCUGGAAACUGAUGACCCUCUGAAGCGAGCUCUCCAGGAGGCCCUCCCUGAGGACAUCCUGAGCCAGGAGUUCCAGCCAGAGACCUGGAAACACUCAUCCUAUUCUGAUGUCACCUUCCGCUCAGUGUCUGGCAGCCUGGGAAUGAACCUGGAGCGGACCCUCCUCUUUUCUCCAGCUUCCUUUCUCCCCCGUUUUGCCAUGACUAACCUGACCAUCCAUGCCCUAGGUCAUGGCUUCAACCUCCUGGAGCUUGGCCUCCGCUUGGAAAAUGCAGAGAAAAUCAUCCACAGGCUGUUGGGCGGGAAGUCAUUCUGGGGGCAGGAAGAGGAGAGAGAGGGCCAGCCGGAGAAGUCCUCAGAGCCAGACCCAGGGCCCUCAGCACAGGCAGCCAAACCUGACUGUCCAGAAGAAAGGUCCAGAAAGAUGAGAGACCUGCAGCAGAAGGUGGCCCGGAGGCACGCGGAGCGGCGGGCGCUGCAGUGUGAGCUGAGUGUGAAGGUGUUCGGGCACGAGCUGAGCUAUGUGAACUGUGGGGUGAUGGGGAGCCACAUGAAACGCCAGUCCUUGCACCUGGCCGAGCUGGCAGUCAAACUCCUGAAGUGCCCUGCUCCAGAUCUCAGCGCAGAUGGGCACAGUGGGCGCCCUGGGGCAGGCCGGGCUGCGGUGGGUGACCAGCGUCCGUGGCACUGCCAGCCUGGAUGGUGGGAUUGAGGCGAGGAAGGGCCGGGACCUCCACGUGCACCUGAACACCCCCGAGGAGGCUGUGGAGCUGCUCAGCUUCAGGUGGGCGUCCUGCACCAGCGAGAGGGAGCAGGUGCAGCAGGGGUGGGUGUGGGCAUGGGCGUGGUUCGAGGGCUUGCACACAUGCGUCUGUGAGUGUGGGUGUCCGUGAGCACCUGUGAGCACGUGUGCAUGAUUGCCCGUGUGUGUGUGAGCAUGAGCCUG